This 1260-nucleotide long non-coding RNA is filed under the name Capra hircus (goat). Its description in RNAcentral is "lncRNA (ENSCHIG00010008946.1)". The record is from RNAcentral. Lineage: Eukaryota; Metazoa; Chordata; Mammalia; Artiodactyla; Bovidae.
CUGAGUGGGAACCCCAGGCUUUAUUGGCUCAAAGUUCUCCUCAGGAGCCUGGUCGGCUGGGACUGGACGUUCCAGGGUGGGCACUCCCGGGCCUGAGCUAGGAGAAGGGAGGGGGAAAAAAUGAGAAUUUUAGGUCACAUGGAGGGUUUCUGGAGUAUGAUCCCUGACAGGGUUAAAGGUGAGUAGUUCUGAAACUACUUUCAAAGACACGCUGUUUGAUCAGUAAAUAUUUAUAGAGCCAGAUGAUGAUGAAAUAUGUGUCAGAUGCCCCCUAUGUGUCAGGCACCACUUGCUGCACUUCUCACUGGUUAAAAAACAACACACCAAUAACUAGAACCACCAUCAAGAACGAGGCAUGAUAAAACGAAACUUUCCAUGCACUGCGGGCAGAAAAAAACAGCUGGCGGAGAACAGGUGACCGGUUUCACCUUCAUCUUUCAAAAGGACGCCACUGCCAGCCCCACCCCUUGUCCCGCCCGCCGCAGGACAGUCUCAAAGCGACAUUACCUCCAGGUUCCCUCUGGCCUUCCGAAGGACCUUGUGUGUCACAACCACUAAGGAGAGAGGAAAGAAUGGGGCGAUUAGAGACGGGUGCCCUGCAAGUUGGCAGACCAGCCAAGGGCAGGGGGGAGGCCUCCAGCCCCAAGUGGCUCAGGCCUGCGGAAAGCCCCGCAGCAUCCAGACCCAGAGGUGUCUACCUCAUCACAUACCCGGGACCAAGUGACCCGUCAGAGAGGGUGGGCCAGAGCCCCUCCUCAAGUCUAAGCCGAAGGCAGGGCGUGCGAUACCACGUUACAGAUGAAACAGGGCCAGCAGGAUCGGGGGAUCCCUGAGCCCACCUCUGCGGGCUGGGCCGCGGUGCGGGGAGGGGAGAGACCUACGCCCAUCUCGGAGCCCUCAUCCCCCAGAGAAGCCGCUCUGGGAAUGGGGAGUGCCCGCUCCAAGCAAACGCAGGGGUGCAGGCCAGGGCCAGGCAGGAGGGCACUGCAGUCCCGGGGCGGGCGCCUGACCACAGGGAGGACGGACGGACGGACACAGGGCGGCUCCCUGCGCUGGCCGCUCGCUCCACCUGGAGCAGCGGGUAGGGCGGGACCACCUCGCAGCUCUCUGGGCUCCGUGGCUGCAGGCAGAGGCCCAGCGCGUGGGAACCCAUGGGCAGGCGGAGGGCCCGCCUCGGGGCACAGCUGUAAAGGAAGACAGCUUCUCCCCGCAGCCCGUCUGUCCCCCAGACGCCAGGAGCAGAGCGAAGGCCACCACUGA